GAUCCUAUAGCUCAGUUGGUUAGAGCGUGGUGCUUAUACUAAGUAUACACAGUGAAAUUGUAUUCACAUGAGGCACGCCAAGGUCGCGGGUUCGAGCCCCGUUGGGAUCA
This 110-nucleotide transfer RNA is filed under the name Akkermansiaceae bacterium. RNAcentral describes it as "tRNA-OTHER". It matches the Rfam family "tRNA". Rfam says of the family: Transfer RNA (tRNA) molecules are approximately 80 nucleotides in length. Their secondary structure includes four short double-helical elements and three loops (D, anti-codon, and T loops). The record is from RNAcentral. Lineage: Bacteria; Pseudomonadati; Verrucomicrobiota; Verrucomicrobiia; Verrucomicrobiales; Akkermansiaceae.